CGGGGCGUAGCUCAGUCAGGUAGAGCGCUGGCUUUGGGAGCAAGAAGUCGGAGGUUCAAAUCCUCUUGCCCCGA
RNAcentral lists this transfer RNA (74 nucleotides) under Pararhodospirillum photometricum DSM 122. It matches the Rfam family "tRNA". Rfam says of the family: Transfer RNA (tRNA) molecules are approximately 80 nucleotides in length. Their secondary structure includes four short double-helical elements and three loops (D, anti-codon, and T loops). The record is from Rfam by way of RNAcentral. Lineage: Bacteria; Pseudomonadati; Pseudomonadota; Alphaproteobacteria; Rhodospirillales; Rhodospirillaceae.